AUCCAUACAUCCUGUAACUACUCCAUCCAUUUUCUAAUAAACUUUCGCCGAAAUUAGGACUGAUAUCACUGACAUUACUUCGUUAAAUAUUUUCAGCAGAUUUCGGAGACGCAGUGAAGUGCCGGCAAUGGUCAGCGAUAGAAAAGGGAGAUGAGGCGGCGCAGAUCUGAUUGGUUGGCCAGAUAUGGCGAGGAAUAGAGGGGUCAGCAGCGGAAUGGAUUUUUUCUGAAAAAGUUUGCCUUCGUUUUGAAAUUUACUCGUCGGAAAAUUCAGAAAAUAUCAAUUUCUUUUCAUCUCGUUCAACUAUCGAUUUUGUUCUCUAGAAUGUGUAUGUGUGUGUGAAAUGUGAAGCUAUACAUAUAUUUUCUUAAAAUUGAAUAUAUUUAGUGUGUGCAUGUAAAUUGAUGGAGA
This 411-nucleotide long non-coding RNA is filed under the name Capsicum annuum. RNAcentral describes it as "long non-coding RNA (CANN_LNC018466)". The record is from RNAcentral. Lineage: Eukaryota; Viridiplantae; Streptophyta; Magnoliopsida; Solanales; Solanaceae.